RNAcentral lists this transfer RNA (82 nucleotides) under Caudoviricetes sp. RNAcentral describes it as "tRNA-Leu". It matches the Rfam family "tRNA". Rfam says of the family: Transfer RNA (tRNA) molecules are approximately 80 nucleotides in length. Lineage: Duplodnaviria; Heunggongvirae; Uroviricota; Caudoviricetes. The record is from RNAcentral.
GCGGACGUGGCGAAAUUGGCAGACGCACCAGAUUUAGGUUCUGGCGCCGAGAGGUGUGAGAGUUCGAGUCUCUCCGUCCGCA